AUGCGGGCGGCGUGGAAUUCGGCGCAGCCAGUUAGGUUUCGGCCGGUCGGCCCGAAGCUGUUUGUGGUGCAGGCGGCGUGCUUAGGAGAUUGGGAACGGAUGCUAGAGCAGGGUCCUUGGCUGUUCAGGAACAUGUUGGUGUUACUGUGCCCAUACGAUGGAUUCACCAAACCUGAAGAGAUGUCUAUGGUGUUCAUGCCGAUCUGGCUCCAAAUCCACAAGAUACCGGAUGGCUUUUGCAAGAAGAGCAUUGUCGAGCAUCUGCUCAGAAACUCAGUGUUUGUGGUCUUAUUGGCCAUGACUGCAAAGAGUGUGGGCCUGGAAUACAUGAGGAGAAGGACAAGAAGUUUGGGGCCUGGCUGUAUGUAG
RNAcentral lists this ribosomal RNA (369 nucleotides) under Triticum aestivum (bread wheat). RNAcentral describes it as "partial small subunit ribosomal RNA". Lineage: Eukaryota; Viridiplantae; Streptophyta; Magnoliopsida; Poales; Poaceae. The record is from RNAcentral.